RNAcentral lists this ribosomal RNA (442 nucleotides) under uncultured bacterium. Its description in RNAcentral is "partial 16S ribosomal RNA". It matches the Rfam family "Bacterial small subunit ribosomal RNA", at positions 338 to 795 of the family's 1533-position model. The record is from RNAcentral.
CCUACGGGAGGCAGCAGUGGGGAAUAUUGGGCAAUGGGCGCAAGCCUGACCCAGCAACGCCGCGUGAAGGAAGAAGGCUUUCGGGUUGUAAACUUCUUUUAAGAGGGAAGAGCAGAAGACGGUACCUCUUGAAUCAGCCACGGCUAACUACGUGCCAGCAGCCGCGGUAAUACGUAGGUGGCAAGCGUUGUCCGGAUUUACUGGGGGUAAAGGGCGUGCAGCCGGGAAGACAAGUCAGAUUUGAAAUCCCGCGGCUCAACCGCGGAACUGCAUUUGAAACGGUUUUUCUUGAGUACCGGAGAGGUCAUCGGAAUUCCUGGUGUAGCGGUGAAAUGCGGAGAUAUAAGGAAGAACACCAGCGGCGAAGGCGGAUGACUGGACGGCAACUGACGGUGAGGCGCGAAAGCGUGGGGAGCAAACAGGAUUAGAUACCCUUGUAGUC